This 490-nucleotide ribosomal RNA is filed under the name uncultured bacterium. RNAcentral describes it as "partial 16S ribosomal RNA". It matches the Rfam family "Bacterial small subunit ribosomal RNA", at positions 30 to 507 of the family's 1533-position model. The record is from RNAcentral.
AUUGAACGCUGGCGGCAGGCCUAACACAUGCAAGUCGAACGGUAACAGAAAGCAGCUUGCUGCUUUGCUGACGAGUGGCGGACGGGUGAGUAAUGUCUGGGAAACUGCCUGAUGGAGGGGGAUAACUACUGGAAACGGUAGCUAAUACCGCAUAACGUCGCAAGACCAAAGGGGGGGACCUUCGGGCCUCUUGCCAUCGGAUGUGCCCAGAUGGGAUUAGCUAGUAGGUGGGGUAACGGCUCACCUAGGCGACGAUCCCUAGCUGGUCUGAGAGGAUGACCAGCCACACUGGAACUGAGACACGGUCCAGACUCCUACGGGAGGCAGCAGUGGGGAAUAUUGCACAAUGGGCGCAAGCCUGAUGCAGCCAUGCCGCGUGUAUGAAGAAGGCCUUCGGGUUGUAAAGUACUUUCAGCGGGGAGGAAGGGAGUAAAGUUAAUACCUUUGCUCAUUGACGUUACCCGCAGAAGAAGCACCGGCUAACUCCGUG